Molecule: RNase P RNA, 349 nt
Filed under: Candidatus Moraniibacteriota bacterium
Lineage: Bacteria; Candidatus Moraniibacteriota
Description: RNase P RNA component class A
Rfam family: Bacterial RNase P class A
About the family: Ribonuclease P (RNase P) is a ubiquitous endoribonuclease, found in archaea, bacteria and eukarya as well as chloroplasts and mitochondria. Its best characterised activity is the generation of mature 5'-ends of tRNAs by cleaving the 5'-leader elements of precursor-tRNAs.
Source: RNAcentral
AAGGCAAAUUGAAUGAUCGCCCUGACGUAAAGUCAGAGAGGAAAGUCCGGACAUUUAUCCGCCGAAGAGGCGGAAAGGGUAGUGGGUAACACCCAUCUAGAGCAAUCUAAGAGGUGCGAGCAGAGACGUGCGAAACCGAAAGGUUGAGCACCCAGCUUUUUAUUUAUAAAGGGCGGGGCGAAUCCAAUAGUAAUAUUGGGGUGAAACGGCUAAAUCCUUACCUGGAUGCAAGGUCGUGUCUUGUUCUACACUAGUAAGAAUAAGAAGUACCGCUUGAUCCCGAUAGUAAUAUCGGGACUAGAUAAAUGAUCAUUCUCGACAAAAUCCGGCUUAUAGAUUUGCCUUGAUA